UAGUGGGCCGCCCACGGUCAAGGAAAUUAAUUAUGGAGAGUGGUGGGGUAGACUCGUGGCUGUUGUCAUAGUCUGCCACGUAUGGCCUGUUGCGGAUAGUGGGGCGGCGUCCGUUGCCGCUAGCUGUCAGUGAGUAGGGGGAUCGUGCAGCACCUGCCGCAGGGAGUGGGACAGAAUCGUGGCCGUUUUCUACAGCCUGUCAGGGAGUAAUGGGUCCGUUGCUGGAGCCGCGUAGAAUCCGCUGUAGGACCUGGAACAGGAUCAUGAUUGUCGUCGCGAUCUGCCGAGGGGGUGCGGAUCUGUCAAUUGAGGUUCGGCCGCGGUUGGAGUCCGGCCUCCGUAGGAGCCCGGGCGGAACCGCUCUGAUGUCGAAGGCGGAGCCCGGCUCCCGUAGUAGUCCGGGCGGAGCCGCUCUGAUGUCGAAGGUGGAGCCCGGC
RNAcentral lists this long non-coding RNA (437 nucleotides) under Elaeis guineensis (African oil palm). RNAcentral's name for it is "long non-coding RNA (EGUI_LNC046076)". The record is from RNAcentral. Lineage: Eukaryota; Viridiplantae; Streptophyta; Magnoliopsida; Arecales; Arecaceae.